RNAcentral lists this ribosomal RNA (643 nucleotides) under uncultured bacterium. RNAcentral's name for it is "bacterial SSU rRNA". It matches the Rfam family "Bacterial small subunit ribosomal RNA", at positions 9 to 691 of the family's 1533-position model. The record is from RNAcentral.
GAGUUUGAUCCUGGCUCAGAGCGAACGCUAGCGGCGGGCCUAACACAUGCAAGCCGAGCGCGUGGCUUCGGCCACGAGCGGCGGACGGGUGAGCAACACGUAGGUAAUCUGCCCUGUGGUGGGGGAUAACCAGGGGAAACCUUGGCUAAUACCGCAUAUGGCCUUCGGGUCAAAGCCUUCGGGCGCCAGAGGAUGAGCCUGCGUCGCAUUACCUAGUUGGUAGGGUAACGGCCUACCAAGGGGACGAUGCGUAGCUGGUCUGAGAGGAUGAUCAGCCACACUGGGACUGAGACACGGCCCAGACUCCUACGGGAGGCAGCAGUGGGGAAUAUUGCGCGAUGGGCGAAAGCCUGACGCAGCCACGCCGCGUGGGUGAUGAAGGCCUUCGGGUUGUAAAGCCCUGUCGGGAGGGACGAAGUUCUGACGGUACCUCCCAAGAAAGCACCGGCUAACCCCGUGCCAGCAGCCGCGGUAAUACGGGGGGUGCAAGCGUUGCUCGGAAUUAUUGGGCGUAAAGCGUGCGUAGGCGGCUCGUUAAGUCAGAUGUGAAAGCCCUGGGCUCAACCUGGGAACUGCAUCUGAAACUGGCGAGCUAGAGUUGAGUAGAGGGGAGUGGAAUUUCAGGUGUAGCGGUGAAAUGCGU